Molecule: long non-coding RNA, 599 nt
Organism: Papilio polytes (common Mormon)
Lineage: Eukaryota; Metazoa; Arthropoda; Insecta; Lepidoptera; Papilionidae
Exons: 2
Source: RefSeq, a predicted model, not a curated record
UCUAAAAUUGACAGAAAACGUCAAAAAUAUCAGAUUAAUUAAAAAUGCACAAAAAAAUGUAAUGAUUAAUUUCUCAGUGUUGGAAAGGUUUUAUCCACAAUGUGCCUUCGUGUCUGUGAAUUUUGGACAUGGCGUUUAAUGUCCAUGUAUAUUGCUUGCGUCGGGAUCUUCGUGGCUUUUAUAUUUGGACCCCUUCAAACUGUCGUAUAUCUUACAGAUCAGCAUUCCGAGAUGUCCAGACUAAUCAAGAAUGAACUCAAUCUAGCUGUAAUGCUCUGGUUCAUCGUUGCUUUCAUGUGGCUGAUCCUAAUUGCGAAUGUUAUUCUAUUCUUUGGUUGUUUCUAUAAUAAUAACAAAUUAGUUAUGAUGUAUUUCUACGCUAUUCUGUUCCAUUUGAUCGUGGCAUUUAAUCUGUGUAUUAGAUACGCCAUCUUGUGUUCGUUUUUCGACAACAAAUGCUUCGAUCAUUCACUUGACAGAAAUAGUGAUGACAGUUUUACUGGUGUUGGUAUCAUUUUCGCAUUCCUAACCUACACCGUCGCUUGGUCUGUCAUACUCUUCAUUGUUUGGAAUUACAAGUUAACAUUACCUGUGUCUUA